GUAGGUGAACCUGCGGAAGGAUCAUUAUCGAGCAAGAAGGGGUAAAGACUGCCUCUGGCCGAUAGCAUGUGCACGCUUCAACCUUUUCUAUUACACACCCGUGCACCUUUUGUGGGUCCUCGAAAGAGGAUCUAUGUAUUUCAUCAUCACACCUAUCGUAUGUCUAGAAUGUCAUACGUCGACCACUGGGCGGCGAAAUUAAUAAUACAACUUUCAGCAACGGAUCUCUUGGCUCUCGCAUCGAUGAAGAACGCAGCGAAUUGCGAUAAGUAAUGUGAAUUGCAGAUUUUCAGUGAAUCAUCGAAUCUUUGAACGCACCUUGCGCUCCUUGGUAUUCCGAGGAGCAUGCCUGUUUCGAGUGUCAUUACAUUCUCAACCAUGACUUUGUUGACAUGGCUUGGAGUUGGAGGUUGCUGGCUUGUUUGUCAGCUCUCCUGAAAUACAUUAGCCGUGGACAAGCAAGGCCUUCCCACGUGAUAAUGAUCGUCUGUGGGGACGGAGCAUCAACGUCUGUACUGACGUCUGAGAAUCCCAGCAUGCCUUAGCUAGACCAUCAUAUCGAAAGCUUGACCUCGAAUCAGGUAGAGA
This 588-nucleotide ribosomal RNA is filed under the name uncultured fungus. RNAcentral's name for it is "eukaryotic LSU rRNA". The stretch from base 209 to 364 matches the Rfam family "5.8S ribosomal RNA". Lineage: Eukaryota; Fungi. The record is from RNAcentral.